This 355-nucleotide ribosomal RNA is filed under the name Philothermopsis sp. CO925. RNAcentral describes it as "partial 12S ribosomal RNA". Lineage: Eukaryota; Metazoa; Arthropoda; Insecta; Coleoptera; Cerylonidae. The record is from RNAcentral.
AAAUUGUGAAUUUGGAUAUKAAAUUAGUAUUAGUUAUGUUCUUGAAAAUUAAAAAUUUUGGCGGUAUUUUAGUCUUUUUAGAGGAACCUGUCCUAUAAUUGAUAAUCCACGAUAAAAAUUACUUUUUUAAAAAUGCUUGUAUAUCGUUGUAGAUAAGAAUAUUUUAUAAGAAAAAUUAAUAUUCGAAAAUUUAAAGUUAAAUUUAAAUCAAAUCAAGAUGCAGCUUAUAAAAAAGAAGAGAUGGGUUACAAUAAAGUAAAUUUAAAUGGAUUAAUUAAUGAAAUUUAAUUAUAAAAGUGGAUUUAAAAGUAAUUUUUUUUGAUUUUAGAAAAAUGAUUUUGGCUCUAAAAUAUGC